AUGGUUCAGCUGCCACCACCAUCUCAAGGGAAUUUGCAUCCUACCCCACAAAAUGUCCAGUCAGGAAUUCAGAUGCCACCUCCAGUUCAAGGGAAUUUGCCUCCUACCUCACAAAAUGUGCAGCCAGGCAUUCAGAUACCACCCCCAUAUCAAGGGAAUUCGCCCCUACCUCCCAAAAUGUUCAAUCAGGGAUUCAAAUGCCACCUCCAUUUCAAGGCAGUUUGCCUCCUACCUCACAAAAUGUUCAGUCCGGAAUUCAGAUGCCACCACCAUUUCAAGGGAAUCCAUUUCAACCUCUACAUAGCUUACCUACAUGGAACUCUUCAUCUAUGCCAUCAUCUGUCAAUGGAAGUGGACUUGCAGUGCCAUCAAUGUACUCGCCAGGAUACUACACUGCACCAACUGGGUUUGCUCAUUUGCAGCAACCACCCUUUCUUGGCCCCCCACACAGUUUGA
This 456-nucleotide ribosomal RNA is filed under the name Triticum aestivum (bread wheat). RNAcentral describes it as "partial small subunit ribosomal RNA". The record is from RNAcentral. Lineage: Eukaryota; Viridiplantae; Streptophyta; Magnoliopsida; Poales; Poaceae.